CUGGCGGAGGUGCUGCAGGUGCGUGCUCAGCGUCAGUUGUCAGAGGACCGUCGACGAGGAGGGGACGCGCUCCUUCUCUUAGUUUCCCGGACUGCGUGCGUGGGACAUUGGUCAAACAUUUUACUCGUAAAAUCCUCUCCGGUGAGCAGGUAUCGCGUGACAGUUGUUUGUGACCCGAGUGCUGUGCAGUGUGUCAACAUCAGCAAUGAUCGGCUUCUCCGGUGUGGUAAUCGUGUUAUAAGGAACAAAUAUUUACCGAAGUUAGAUCUGGAUAUAAAAAGUUUUGGAAAAGUAGGAGUGUGCUCCUUGCUCUGAACGUGUGGGGGGGGGGGGGGAUGAGGGAGGCCCCGCAGCGGCACCUCGCCUGGCCACACACACGCGGCGGCUCCAGCCACAGCAACAACGGCCCUGAACGCGCCUAGCAGCAAGGCGGCGGCAGAGCGACCAACCACAGCCUGACGCCACGUCACUGUCAAGUGAAUAGUGUGGAAAAGAAAACCUGGAAACAGUGCCAACAGUAUAUGUUGCCAGUUACCGCCAGCGAGGGUGACCCGUCAUUUCCUACGCGCCCUGGAUACUGCCCCUGCGCGUCCGUAGCUGAGUGGUUUCUGUGACCGCCUACCACUCCUCGGGGCACCGGUUCGAGUCUAAUUAGGAGCCUUCGGCGCACAGCCCACCCAGCAAUUGCUCCUGUUCAUCCUUCCUUUUGGGUUGGUCGAUAAACGGGUACCUGGGGAAACUUGGGGAGGUAAAUUGUGGGAAUCCGGACGGCAAAGGGACGAGUGUCCCCGGGCUAGUGGAUACGAGUCCACCACAGGCUCAAAAGGUCAAGAAAGCGGAAAUGAGCACCGAUGCAACGCGCAGCAAUAUCGCAUGCUCCGCACUUUACCUACGAGUAUUACUUUAUUAGGCAGACAUUGUUGGCUAGACUCUCGGCUACUCAUUUUUCCUAUCCCAUCCUGUUUUCCAUAUUAUACUUCUAAGAUAUGUUAGGUUACAAGAAGAGCUUCAUGAGCUUUUUUUGUGAAGUAAAUGUGGAAAAGAAGCUGGAGGAGAACAUUUUUGCUCC
Long non-coding RNA from Eriocheir sinensis (Chinese mitten crab), 1069 nucleotides. RefSeq lists it as uncharacterized. The transcript has 3 exons. NCBI's taxonomy places the organism in Eukaryota, Metazoa, Arthropoda, Malacostraca, Decapoda, Varunidae. The record is from RefSeq and is a predicted model, not a curated record.